AUCGAUUAGUUUGGUCUGCCACACGAUGAGGCCGGCCCGUCAAUGAAGAAGGCCGUCGAUAGACGAGCGAAUCGAUUACUGAUCAACAUGCCCACUGCAGCCACAUCUGUCCAAAAAACUGCAUCUGUGAGCAAGCAACCUCAGUGCAGUGCUUUAGGGUUCAGUCUGUACCACCGCUCAUCUCAAACAACCUGAAGAAAAUACACCUGGGAUACAAUCAUCUCAAAGAACUGAAGGCCAGAGAUUUUUCUGGUCUGCCAGGCCUUGAAGAAGUAGUUCUGUCUUCUGGUGGGAUCGAGCAGAUUGACGCCAAUGUGUUCAGAUCUCACGUGUUGUUAAGAACUCUGGACCUUCAAAAAAACUAUUUGAGACAGCUUCCCCGUGGCCUGCCCUCUGGCCUGGAGAUCCUGCAUUUGGGCCACAACAGGAUCCACAGCCUACAAGAGUCACCCCUGGAGGGCCUCGAGAAGCUGCGGGUCCUGAACCUCCAGAAUAACCAGAUUAGCACCUUGCGCGCAAACACCCUAACAUUACUUCAAAAGCUUGAGUGUCUUUAUCUGGAUGGAAAUAAAAUCGAAUCAAUACAUGGCGCCCCCAGGUUGCCCUUUCUACAUUUGCUUAGCAUGGGAAGCAACAGGAUCUCCUCCAUAUCAUCAACGUUCUUCUCUUCACUGCAGCUUCUAAA
Long non-coding RNA from Sinocyclocheilus rhinocerous, 685 nucleotides. RefSeq lists it as uncharacterized. The record is from RefSeq and is a predicted model, not a curated record. The transcript has 3 exons. NCBI's taxonomy places the organism in Eukaryota, Metazoa, Chordata, Actinopteri, Cypriniformes, Cyprinidae.